This 547-nucleotide long non-coding RNA is filed under the name Rattus norvegicus (Norway rat). RNAcentral's name for it is "long non-coding RNA NONRATT022290". The record is from RNAcentral. Lineage: Eukaryota; Metazoa; Chordata; Mammalia; Rodentia; Muridae.
UCUUGCUCCCAGACUAACACAAGGGAGGAGGCUGUUAGUGAUCCGGACAGCCGCAUGCUUUUUCCUGAAUGUUUUUGACUGGUCUCAAUCUACAGACAUGGAUAAGGCCUUAGGAUCUUGUUCAUGGGAAACCUGUGGCCAGUGGGGUCCACUGUCUUUCUUCUCCGUUAUGCAUAGCAGAUGCCCUUUCCUCCACGCUGUGGCUCUGCUGCCUUUCCACUUUCCAAACGAAACCAAGGCUGUGUCCGAGGAGGAGUUUGGUGAAGGUUUCGGUGACAUUGGAUACCUGCUGCUUAGACGUUCUGGUUUUAUCACUGAGAAUCCAGAAGAACCCUUGGGCCCUGGUUUUCUCUCUGAGUGGUUGAUUUCUCUAGCACAAGAGAAGCUGGCAGACAAAUUCACCGUAACGAGAUUAAGGUCUGAGUCCCACCCACCGUGUGACCGGAUUGGCUGUGUUGGGACAUAUUGAUGUUAGAGCUACAUGGUGUGAAACAGAUCAAAGUUUUGUUUUGUCUUCAUUCAAAAACUGUAAAAAGAAUUAUUUCAA